Molecule: ribosomal RNA, 456 nt
Filed under: Poecilochaetidae sp. A ZW-2021
Lineage: Eukaryota; Metazoa; Annelida; Polychaeta; Spionida; Poecilochaetidae
Description: partial large subunit ribosomal RNA
Rfam family: Bacterial large subunit ribosomal RNA
Source: RNAcentral
CAAAAACAUCGCCUCUAGAAUAAAUAUUAGAGGUCCAUCCUGCCCCAUGACUUGUUAAAUGGCCGCGGUACCCUGACCGUGCAAAGGUAGCAUAAUCAUUUGCCUCUUAAUUAGAGGCUUGUAUGAAUGGACACACGAGAGUCAAGCUGUCUCACUUUUAUAAAUAAAAAUUAAUCUCUAGGUGAAAAAGCCUAGAUGCCAUAAAAAGACAAAAAGACCCUAUUGAGUUUUAUUGAAAAUGUUUUUCCAAUAAAAUAAUUCAACACAUAAAAACAAAAUCAAUUUAGUUGGGGCGACUUAGGAAGAAAUUAAAUCUUCCUGUAUAAAAAAGACCAUAAAUCUAAAAACUGAUCCACAUCCGUGAUUAAAAGAUCAAACUACCAUAGGGAUAACAGGCUAAUCUUCUUUGAGAGCCCAUAUUGACAAGAAGGAUUGGCACCUCGAUGUUGGCUUAGA